UCCUUUGACGUCUUCUUCUGGGUUUUUGCCGUCAACGAGCAAACGGGAAAGAAUGGCCUGACGCAAACACCUUAUUUUCCAUCAGUCCCCUCUUUGCCAUCUGUUCUUUGUAAGCUGAUGGCAAAGACUUUCUUUGGCGUGUGCUGGCAGACGACAAAGAACCGACAGGUGGCAAAUUCUAUUAUUCUAGUAGUGCUUGUCGUUUUGGUUCUCUUUUCACUUACAUUGGUUAGUCAUGCAAGGAACAACAUAAUAUAUCCAAAUGACAUGAGUGAAUUUCAUCCUCAUAUAAUUGUGAAGGAUAUGAUUUUGUUGUCUUCUUCCUCUAUCUCUGAAGAAGGGAUUGUUGAUACUUGGCUAUGUCAGGAUUGCUUUUGAUGUGAGUUAAUGUCAAUCUUGUGA
This 402-nucleotide long non-coding RNA is filed under the name Hordeum vulgare. Its description in RNAcentral is "long non-coding RNA (HVUL_LNC009730)". Lineage: Eukaryota; Viridiplantae; Streptophyta; Magnoliopsida; Poales; Poaceae. The record is from RNAcentral.